AAAACCUUUAUUAUUUGCUGCACCCCACAACUGCCUCACAAAGCAUCCCGGAGUCCAGUGAGCAGACAGCAGAGGAGACUGUCAGCAGACCAUCUUGAAGGGGAUGCUUGGAGCUGCCAAAUGUGUGAUUCAAAGAUUAAUUCCAUGUGUUUGGAGAAGCAGCCCUAGCCUCAAAACAAACGUUGGCCACCUUCCAGCCAAGGUAGCAUGGAGUGAAGGCCCACGGAGGGACAGCUGGGCUUUUCUGAAUUACUUUGGCACACCUACUGUACCUCGGCCUGCCAUGUUUCAUCCCCACAGCUGUCCUCAGUGGUGUGCAUGGUCACUGCUCCCUUCACCGCUGAAAAGACGGGCACAGGACAGUCAGGGGACAUGUCCAAGGCCCCACAUCAGGAAGGGCUGGAGCCAGAAUGGGGUCUUAGACACUGAAUAUACAAAGAGACAAUGGUGCGACCAUCUGUACAAAUGGAACUGUGGCCCACGACCUGCAGCAGCCAGGCUGGACGCUGGCCUGCCCUCGGUUGUACUCACAUCAUUGGUCUUAUGGGGAAAUGUUAAGACCUCCCACUUGUAAGGUUUUAUAGCCCUCUAUGGAAUGUUGAAGAAAGAGUAAAAUGCAUCCAAAAAAAAAAAAAACUAAACUGGAUAAAUUCUGAGGCCUCUUCAGGUCUUAAGAUGGCUGUUUUCUAGGUCCUCUUGUUGCAGCAGUGAAAUCCACAGACAUGGACAAGUGAGUCAAUUAUGUGCCUUUCAGAGAAAACUUCUGACUUAGGAAUUCCAGCUAUUUGGCCCAACCCAUAUUAGACUGUGUUAUAAAGAAUGGGUAAAUUACAUCACGAAGGGAAGAGCAGAGGAAACACAACAUUCCUUCAAGACCCAUCAGCUCUGAUGUUAGCAGAACACCCCUAAAGAGGAAAACAAGAAAUUUUGAAUUUGAACUUGGUACUUCCCAGCAGCCCCGGGAGUGGGGUCAGAAGCCCUGCUGGGGGGCAAAGAACUCUGAGGAUCAAAGAUGUUGAGCAUCACCUUAGAGACCAAAGAUCAGAACAGUGGAGGUGGCCUUUGAAGCCCAAUCUAUGCUUUCACCAGAGAGUGAGAACGGCCUCUAUUUCCAGGAAGCUCACUGCAACAACAAUCACGAUCCACUGAGCCUGACAAGGUGAGAAUUUACUUUCAGCACCUGCAAUACUUUCCUAUUAAAGUUACAUAUGAAACCCUGCCGUCUUGUACCAACUAAUGUUCACACCAGCGUUCCUAUUUUCAAGAUAAAUUGCAAAAUAAAAACUCUUGUUUUUGUUAGCAAAAGAAAACUUCUUUAGGAGGACAAAAGGGAGAUGAAGAAACAGAAAACACAGCUCUCCAUCUAAAUUACAGAAUGCAGAAAAUAUCCUGAAGUGAAUAACACAGGAAUCACCCUUUUUCCUCCUGAGAUAACAGGUUACUUAUAAGAAACAAACUUGAAAUCUCUGCAUCUGGACCAGCUUCCAGAGGCUUUUGUCCUGACCAGCUGGAUUUGGAGAAGGAAAGGAAACCAGGGAAGAAGGGGCUGAAAUAAUUGGUUUCCACCGUGACCUUUGAACCCUCGGGUGAGUUGUCAACUUCAUUGAGGAUGAGUGUCCUCGAUAUCAAACGAGAUCACUUUACUUGCAAGCUUGUUGUGAGGACUGAAUGAAACCUUUUCUUUUUUCUUUCUUGGAGUUUUGGAGCAACGUCCCUGAGCCAAGCCCCACACCAGCUUGAGCCCUAUCAUCGGUAAAUAUACGGUGCUUUCUCCCCUCCCCUCUGCACUCCAGCUUACUCUGCAGUCCGGGGGUGGCACCAGGAUCCCCUUUAAGACUUUGCCACUUGGGCCAGCUGUGCCUCUGAGAAAUUCCGUUUCUAUUGCAGGCCACAAGGACGAGCUGAGAAAUGGCUUCCAGUCACCAUCUAGAUUAGAAAGCCUAUAGUUCAAAUAUAGAGAUAUCAGUUAUGCCUGUGAAAAGACAUUAAAUCGCACAGGGCUGUAAUUCCUAGACUCUACAAAUUUCAUCUUGCACUAAAUUCUAUUAUUUCAUUUAUAAUUCAGAUUCUUCAAAUCUAAGAGUGCCUAGCUUAAAAUUAUAAUACCUACAACUAUUCCAAAACUGGACUCUUUAAUUGCCUUACUGGAACCAGUAGCUGAUUCAAAGCAAAACAAAACAAAAUUCCUCCUUUCUCUAAUUUAGUGAAUCAAUGAUCUAACUGAAUUCAUUUUUGGACUGAGUUUGCAGCACUUGCAGCCCUGAGGGACACAUUCCCCCACCACACUGAGCUUGCACUCCCAUCAACUCAAGUGAACAUUUUGCUUAUUCAGAUUGGGGGGGUGAAGGAAGUCACAAAAGGGUUAACAUGUGCGGCAUUUCAUUGUAAUAUGUACUCACUACUAACUAAAUUAAAAGAGAUGUGAGUUAUUAAAAACUCCAUCUUAAGAAAGAUAAGUAACAGAAAUCAGAGUUCAGACCCGUUGUUACUGAGUUUCCAACCAACACCUGUGAGUUAAACCUAUGGCCACCCUGAAAACGGUUCAUAUUUUCAAAAGCAAUCCUUCAUCGAAGAUGAAAUGCACUAAAGAUUCAUAUUACAUAUCAUGCUGCAAUAAGAAAAGCAAAUAAGGUCUUUCCAUAUUCAAUAAUAAAGUUUAAAGGAAAGGAAUAUUUGUUUAGCCAGUUAGCCAGAAAUUAGGUGUAUCAGAAUACAUCAUUCUCUGAGCAUUUUAGAAAAUCAGGCUAUUUUUACAUUGUGUUUUUCUUUGUAAGUCCUUUAAAAAUAUAGAGAAUAUUCUUGAAAUUAUAGUGUUUGUCUUCUGGAACAAAAAAUACUAAUCAAGGAAAUCUGCAAAUUUAAUUGUUCAUUGAGCUUCCACAGCAAACACUGUGUGAGGAGGCUGAAGCUUAGAAGUCCAAAAACUAAAAGAUUAUUAUUAUUUCGAUAAUAGUAUCUUAUGUCUGCAUAACAUCUGAACUCAGUUCUUUGCAGAGGUUCUCUCCUUCCUCAAGCAACCUCUGAGGUAGGGAGGGGCGACAAUAUUGGCUCCAUUUUACAGUUAAGAAAACAGAGGCUCACGGAGUCAUAAGUAAGGCUGGGCGGGAACGUCCGUCCUGUUCUCUGGGUCUGAAGAGCACAGUCAUGAAGGAUGGAAGUCAUUUCACAUUUUAAAACGAAACAGAUAACUUGUGCUAAAUGCGUGUCCCGGCCCUGCCCUGAGAGACAAGGAAGUCGAAGUGGGUGAGGGCGCAGGAGGCCGGAUUUCCUGUGAUGCUGGACACGUGGCAGGAAGCGGGGAGAGCUGACACCGGAAGCCCUGGAAGGUUGCCUGCUCUGCAGCAGCUGGAGGGAGCAAGAGAGCCCUGUGGCUGGCAUGGUCAGAAGAAAUCUAAGCGGACUAAGAGCCAUAAUCUGCCCUCGAACUCAGGACACCUUGGCAAAGAACUGAACAAAUGACCUCUCAGCAGAUCUUAUGCACAAAAUCAUCAAGUGGAAAUAUGAAAAGGAGCAUAAAAUAUACCCACUCACAGGGAUUUUAAAGAUAUGCCUACCAACAAGAGCAAACAUUUUAUGUGAAACCCAAGAUGAUCUGCAGAGGGAAACGUGCUGGGCUGGGAAGGAAAGUGGUUAGAGGCUGCAGCCCAGCUUUGAGGCUAUGAUGGUCCAGUUGCUGUCAGGCUCUGCAUCUCACUUUCCUGUUCUGUAAAAUCUGACCAGAUGAUCUGAAAGCUCCCUUCCAGCUCUAAGCCGGCAAUGCUUACAUAGAGAAUAAAAUGAACGCCCCACCCCACCGGGGUUACUGCUGAUCCACACAGAUGCACACUCCCACUUCCCUGCAUCUUCACGUUCACUACAUUCAUCUCCAUCUGAUUAUCAAGUUGCAAACUGGACCAGCGCCAAACAGCAACUUCUGUCAUAAAAUCUCUCUCAAUCUAAUUCCCACAUGGGAGAAAGGCACCAGGAAGAUGGAGCGGCCCCAUCUUCCUCCCCAAAUGAAACACUACUAAGACAGUCCAACCAGCCUGUGAUCCCGGCAACAGCUCCCAGCUCCAGAUGUGGCAGCCUGAUGUUGAUGAGGUCAAGUCACAGAUCCAAGACUCACCAAAAAAAUUCACCACACACAGAAAAAGGAAAAACAACUUCUUUCCUUAUCCAGAAUGUGUCCAUUAACCUGGAGGCACGUCCAAGAGCCUUGAAGCAGUAACCAACGGCAUUAGCAUGGAGUGCAGGUGUGUCAGCCCAUUCCACGCCACUGCCAGCAGAGCCACCUGAGCGUCCCUAGAAGGAAGACCCCUUGACCUUCCCAUUCUUACCAUGAGGCACGGUUCCUGUUUUGGGGGAAAAUCAUCCUAAGGAAGGAUAUUGCGUUGCUAUUGACAAAGGAAAAAUACGCUUGUGCAUUUCUCCCGGUAAGCUAAUUUGCAAAAGGCCUAAUCACACUAAGCAAAUAUUUUCCAGCCCCAAGAGAGGAGGGAAAGAGGAUGAGGACGUGCUCGCCCCCUGAGGACAUGACCCUUCCUCUCUAUCCCUGGGAGAACUCAGGGCCAGGGUCAUACCUUGUUCCAGGGUACCUGGGAAGGAGGGUCUUUGGCUGGUCCCUGGGUUCAGGGUGAAACUCUGGAUGGUCCCACAAUGUAGGAAAGGGAAAGUGAAUGUCAGGGAAGUCCAACCGUGUCUGCUACACACCCAUGUGGAUGCGAGCCCCCUCCCAUCACUGUGACUCCAAAGGCUGGAAUCUCUCUCAUCCUCUUGUCAGCACCCCAGACUGAAUCAACAUGAGAACAUCGCUGAAUGGAGUUAGAAUCAUAAAUACCAUUUCUUUAGCCUCUGAGACAUCAUGAUUAUGAUAUUGUAAUGGCCACGCAGUCUGAACAUUCGCCCAUGUCAGACUGGGGCUCGCUAACCACCUGAAGGUGCACACCAUGAGCCUCCUUUACAGUCAGCAUCGGAUGAAGCUGCUGGGCAGAUCCAGGCCCCCCACAGCCAGGCCCCUGCAGGGCAUCCCGCUGCCUGGCUACCUGGCUACCUGUGCAGGACCACAGCACUGUCUCACCUGUAGCCACGCAAAGCGAAAACCUCUGCAAUUGCUUCUGGAAGGGCCGCUGGCAGAGGCGCUUUUCCAUGGUGGAGGAAGCCUCCCUUAGCUGAGCAACAGCUGCUGAACCCCAUGGUGGUCCUGCCUCCAGACAUUCCAGUCACCUCCACAUGGCUCUGCAGCAGAGCCCCGCAUUUAUGGAUUGCAGCCGUGGCCUUUAUGGGUGGACUAUGAGUGAGUGAGGGGGAAAAACUGGAAGAAGGAAGCGUGCGCAUGUGACUUCAGUGACGCCUGUGCUCCGACCACAUAGUUUAAGUGUCAGCCUCCAUCUUGUGCUUAUUUUUAAACCAUUGCUAUUAACUUGACCAAUGGUCAUAAUGCAGUUCCCCCCUUACCAUCACAGUAUUACCAGGAAAUUCGUGUUCAAACUUCAGCAGAACAGAAUACCCGUGAGAAAAAGCACUAACUGGCUGCGUGCGGUGGCUCACGCCUGUAAUCCCAGCACUUUGGGAGGCUGAGGUGGGCGGAUCACCUGGGGUCAGGAGUUCAAGACCACCCUGGCCAACAUGGUGAAACCCCGUCUCUACUAAAACUACAAAAAUUAGCCAGGCAUGGUGGUGCACGCCUGUAAUCCCAGCUACUAGGGAGGCUGAGGCAAGAGAAUCGCUUGAACCUGGGAGGCAGAGGUUGCAGUGAGCUGAAAUUACACCAUUACACUCCAACCUGGGUGACAAGAGCAAGACUCCGAAAAAAAAAAAAAAGGAAAAAAAAA
Macaca mulatta (Rhesus monkey) is the source of this 5810-nucleotide non-coding RNA. The record is from RefSeq and is a predicted model, not a curated record. Lineage: Eukaryota; Metazoa; Chordata; Mammalia; Primates; Cercopithecidae.